Non-coding RNA from Streptomyces sp. 13-12-16, 75 nucleotides. Lineage: Bacteria; Bacillati; Actinomycetota; Actinomycetes; Kitasatosporales; Streptomycetaceae. The record is from Rfam.
CUUGAUGGAGCCGAGCAGCAGCGGACGCUCCGGGUCCCGGCCCCGGCCGUAGGUGGCCAGCAGGGCCUGCGCCUC